This 1349-nucleotide long non-coding RNA is filed under the name Coturnix japonica (Japanese quail). RNAcentral describes it as "lncRNA (ENSCJPG00005009437.1)". Lineage: Eukaryota; Metazoa; Chordata; Aves; Galliformes; Phasianidae. The record is from RNAcentral.
CAUUACAUACAGUGUCUAAUCCUGUAAACCAUAAAAAUCUCACGUGAAUAGUGCCAUUGAUAAAGCUUGCAGGUAAGGGGCUGCUUGUGUGAAUGACUGCUUGAAGGGCAGAGCCCUCUUAAUUUGGUCUAUAGGAAACUUUCCUAGCUGUGUUUUGUGUAAAAACACCUAAAAAUCAGAUCCUAAUAACACUCUUGGCAGAGCUGCACUAUGGUGUAGGAGGUCUUGCUGAUAGCUGUGUGAAAUGCAAUGAAGUGAUUAAGGGCUCUGCCAGAGCCAACACGCUGCACCCAGAGCAGAAGCAGCUCCUGAACAACAGUGGGGCUGGGCACCAGGCUGGAAACAUGAGGCAGAGACCACCCUUGAAAACCUGUGAACACAGCAAAGCACACCUUCCAGUCCCCAUCCUGGAUUCAGGGAAAAAAGGAGGAUGUUUCAAAUGAUGUCACAAGUGUGGUUGCAAACACUAUGGAAAGUCCCUGGCUAUGGAAUAUGCAGUUGGAUUUGAGGAAAGUUGAGAGGUAGUUGUUUAUCACACAGCAAUCUCAGUCCUCUAGGCUUCUCUGUGCAGAAGCAAACUCUUACGUAGGGUUAUAAUUAUGAUUAUAAAGACCUAUGAACACUCUGCACACAAGUAUUGUGGGUGUUCUAGGCUGAAAAUGUCACGGAACUAAAAUGUUAUAGUGUACAUAAAGGAGAGAUGAGCUUAUUUGAAGACAAUUGUUGAAGAAGAAAAAAACAAGAAACAUCCACUGGGAAUAUUUGUACCUGCAACUACCCCCUCAAAACUAGUAUUUACUGUGAACAGGCUUUCAGAGACUGCCUAAUGCGACAGCUUGUUGGGUUAAGUGCCAAUUAUUCAUUGCUUAGUCACUGAAAUGUCUGACAGUACAUCAGCUUCUUAGCAAUUGUACAGCUGGUUAGGAAAAAAAAAUCAAUAGAACACCUACUCAACAAAAUUUAUUGACUUUUGUCAAAAUGAAAACAUUAGGUGGAACUGUUCCUGAUUCAAACACAUACUUUCUCCUGGAUGAUUGUGCUUCGUGAAAGGGGUUGAUGUUGUUCCCCUGUCAUGUGUUGUCUCCUAGCAGAGCUGCUGGUCAAGCACACCCUGAUACCCUUCCUGCAGCAUCACUUUUGGCAGAUAAAAGGAGUGGGUGGAGAUAAUGAGUUUGAUUGCUUAUAUUUAGUUUAAAUGAAUGAGGGAGCAGUUGAGUAGGAUAAUCCAGAGGAUUCUUCUCCGAAGAGGACUCCCAGAGGCGUGAAUGUGUUUGAGUCUCCAGGUUCCCUCUCAUCCAUAGUCUGUUUCUACAUGGCCUAUUUUCCUGGCUCCUCUGCCAGGUAUGCAG